UCUCCGUUGGUGAACCAGCGGAGGGAUCAUUACAGGACUCGCAAGACUCCUACAACCCUGUGAACUUAACUAUAAGCACGUUGCUUCGGCGGGGCCGCCCCGGCGCCCUCGGCGUCCCGGAACCAGGCGCCCGCCGGAGGACCCAAACUCUUGUUUAAACCAUAGUGGCAUAUUCUGAGUCUCACAAGAAAAAUGAAUCAAAACUUUCAACAACGGAUCUCUUGGCUCUG
RNAcentral lists this unclassified non-coding RNA (230 nucleotides) under plant metagenome. RNAcentral's name for it is "partial contains small subunit ribosomal RNA, internal transcribed spacer 1, and 5.8S ribosomal RNA". The record is from RNAcentral.